RNAcentral lists this long non-coding RNA (454 nucleotides) under Struthio camelus australis. RNAcentral's name for it is "lncRNA (ENSSCUG00000011832.1)". Lineage: Eukaryota; Metazoa; Chordata; Aves; Struthioniformes; Struthionidae. The record is from RNAcentral.
GGUGGCCAUUCUGACCUCAUCGUGUUUUCUGUUGACAAAAGAGAGAAGAUUUGCAUUAGAGAUCAUGACCUCCAGGAGCCAGAGGGAAGUACUGAGUGUACAUAACACCCUAUUUCAAUGUCUUUUGGGAGAGAGGAGCAGAAAAGCAGGUGAACCAAAGUGUCAUCUAUCCAGUAUCUGGUGGUGGCUAACGUGAAGCCUUGGGAAGAGUCCACUGCAUUCCUGUCCACCUCUGCAGCUUGGUGUGGAUCACCUAGAGAUGACUGAAGAUACUUUGUGCCCUCCUUGCUGCUCCAACCUCUGCAAUUGUACUGCUUUUUUAAGGUAACAUAACUUGACCAUCAUGCUGUCUGCUUACCUACAAGUAUUAGCCAAAACCGGUUAAAAAAAUACACCAACAAACUGCUUUCGUGUUCUCGGAUUCACGAAUUAUGGCCUUUGCAUUGCAUUCAUG